UCCGGUUUGUCACCGGCAGUCCCGACAGAGUCCCCGGCAGUCUUUCGACCCCGCUGGCAACAGUCGGCAAGGGUUGCGCUCGUUGCGGGACUUAACCCAACAUCUCACGACACGAGCUGACGACAACCAUGCACCACCUAUCGCAGACCCCGAAGGACACCGUAUCUCUACGGCUUUUCCCUACAUGUCAAACCCAGGUAAGGUUCUUCGCGUUGCGUCGAAUUAAGCCACAUGCUCCGCCGCUUGUGCGGGCCCCCGUCAAUUCCUUUGAGUUUUAGCCUUGCGGCCGUACUCCCCAGGCGGAGUGCUUAAUGCGUUAGCUGCGGCACAGAGCGGGUUGAAGACCGCCCCACACCUAGCACUCAACGUUUACGGCUGGGACUAC
This 385-nucleotide unclassified non-coding RNA is filed under the name uncultured bacterium. RNAcentral's name for it is "contains 16S-23S intergenic spacer region". The record is from RNAcentral.